Molecule: ribosomal RNA, 512 nt
Filed under: uncultured Bacillus sp.
Lineage: Bacteria; Bacillati; Bacillota; Bacilli; Caryophanales; Bacillaceae
Description: bacterial SSU rRNA
Rfam family: Bacterial small subunit ribosomal RNA
Source: RNAcentral
UAGUUGAUCUGCUCAGGACGACGCUGGCGGCGUGCCUAAUACAUGCAAGUCGAGCGGAUCUUUGAGAGCUUGCUCUCAAAGAUUAGCGGCGGACGGGUGAGUAACACGUGGGUAACCUGCCUGUAAGAUUGGGAUAACUCCGGGAAACCGGAGCUAAUACCGGAUAACAUUUUGAACCGCAUGGUUCGAAAUUGAAAGGUGGCUUUUGCUACCACUUACAGAUGGACCCGCGGCGCAUUAGCUAGUUGGUGAGGUAAUGGCUCACCAAGGCAACGAUGCGUAGCCGACCUGAGAGGGUGAUCGGCCACACUGGGACUGAGACACGGCCCAGACUCCUACGGGAGGCAGCAGUAGGGAAUCUUCCGCAAUGGACGAAAGUCUGACGGAGCAACGCCGCGUGAGUGAUGAAGGCCUUCGGGUCGUAAAGCUCUGUUGUUAGGGAAGAACAAGUACCGUUCAAAUAGGGCGGUACCAUGACGGUACCUAACCAGAAAGCCACGGCUAACUACGUG